UGUCAUGAUAAUGAGAGAUAAGUGUGAAGCGUAUAGACGCUGUGAACGCAAUGUUGUUGCGAUGAAUGAUCGGUCUUAGCAUACAACGAUUAGUAUGGCUUUGACACUAAGAACGAGUAAUGAACAUGGGGUUCAUGUAAUGGAUAACGAAAGUAAAUAAGAGAUGAAUUAUCAAGAAAGCCGUAAAGAAUAAGAAAUUGACUUAAUCAAAC
Molecule: long non-coding RNA, 212 nt
Filed under: Panax ginseng (ginseng)
Lineage: Eukaryota; Viridiplantae; Streptophyta; Magnoliopsida; Apiales; Araliaceae
Description: long non-coding RNA (PGIN_LNC012509)
Source: RNAcentral